RNAcentral lists this transfer RNA (69 nucleotides) under Yersinia ruckeri. RNAcentral describes it as "tRNA-Met". The stretch from base 5 to 65 matches the Rfam family "tRNA", at positions 7 to 64 of the family's 71-position model. Rfam says of the family: Transfer RNA (tRNA) molecules are approximately 80 nucleotides in length. Their secondary structure includes four short double-helical elements and three loops (D, anti-codon, and T loops). The record is from RNAcentral. Lineage: Bacteria; Pseudomonadati; Pseudomonadota; Gammaproteobacteria; Enterobacterales; Yersiniaceae.
CGGGGUGGAGCAGCCUGGUAGCUCGUCGGGCUCAUAACCCGAAGGUCGUCGGUUCAAAUCCGGCCACAA